This 253-nucleotide ribosomal RNA is filed under the name uncultured bacterium. Its description in RNAcentral is "partial 16S ribosomal RNA". It matches the Rfam family "Bacterial small subunit ribosomal RNA", at positions 524 to 776 of the family's 1533-position model. The record is from RNAcentral.
UACGUAGGGGGCUAGCGUUGUCCGGAAUCAUUGGGCGUAAAGCGCGUGUAGGCGGCCCGGUAAGUCCGCUGUGAAAGUCGGGGGCUCAACCCUCGGAUGCCGGUGGAUACUGUCGGGCUUGAGUACGGAAGAGGCGAGUGGAAUUCCUGGUGUAGCGGUGAAAUGCGCAGAUAUCAGGAGGAACACCUAUUGCGAAGGCAGCUCGCUGGGACGUGACUGACGCUGAGACGCGAAAGCGUGGGGAGCAAACAGG